GCGAGGGUUGCCGAGCCUGGUCAAAGGCGCAGGGCUUAGGACCCUGUCUCGCAGGAGUUCGAGCGUUCGAAUCGCUCCCCUCGCA
RNAcentral lists this transfer RNA (85 nucleotides) under Methanoculleus sp. Its description in RNAcentral is "tRNA-Leu". It matches the Rfam family "tRNA". From Rfam's summary of the family: Transfer RNA (tRNA) molecules are approximately 80 nucleotides in length. Their secondary structure includes four short double-helical elements and three loops (D, anti-codon, and T loops). The record is from RNAcentral. RNAcentral also lists the same sequence under 2 other names. Lineage: Archaea; Methanobacteriati; Methanobacteriota; Methanomicrobia; Methanomicrobiales; Methanomicrobiaceae.